RNAcentral lists this ribosomal RNA (616 nucleotides) under uncultured fungus. RNAcentral's name for it is "eukaryotic LSU rRNA". It matches the Rfam family "Eukaryotic large subunit ribosomal RNA", at positions 38 to 667 of the family's 3401-position model. The record is from RNAcentral. Lineage: Eukaryota; Fungi.
GCAUAUCAAUAAGCGGAGGAAAAGAAACUAACAAGGAUUGCCUCAGUAACGGCGAGUGAAGCGGCAAAAGCUCAAAUUUGAAAUCUAGCACCUUCGGUGUUCGAGUUGUAAUUUGAAGAUGGUAACCUUGGGUUUGGCUCUUGUCUAUGUUCCUUGGAACAGGACGUCAUAGAGGGUGAGAAUCCCGUCUGAUGAGAUGCCCAUUCCUAUGUAAGGUGCUAUCGAAGAGUCGAGUUGUUUGGGAAUGCAGCUCUAAGUGGGUGGUAAAUUCCAUCUAAAGCUAAAUAUUGGCGAGAGACCGAUAGCGAACAAGUACAGUGAUGGAAAGAUGAAAAGAACUUUGAAAAGAGAGUGAAAAAGUACGUGAAAUUGUUGAAAGGGAAGGGCAUUAGAUCAGACUUGGUGUUUUACGAUUAUCUUCUCUUCUUGAGUUGUGCACUCGUAUUUCACUGGGCCAGCAUCGAUUCGGAUGGCAAGAUAAUGGCAGUUGAAUGUGGCUUCACUUCGGUGGAGUGUUAUAGCUUCUGCUGAUAUUGCCUGUCUGGAUCGAGGGCUGCGUCUUUUGACUAGGAUGCUGGCGUAAUGAUCUAAUGCCGCCCGUCUUGAAACACGGACC